GAUGAACGCUGGCGGCGUGCCUAAUACAUGCAAGUCGAGCGAACGGACGAGAAGCUUGCUUCUCUGAUGUUAGCGGCGGGCGGGUGAGUAACACGUGGAUAACCUACCUAUAAGACUGGGAUAACUUCGGGAAACCGGAGCUAAUACCGGAUAAUAUUUUGAACCGCAUGGUUCAAAAGUGAAAGACGGUCCUGCUGUCACUUAUAGAUGGAUCCGCGCUGCAUUAGCUAGUUGGUAAGGUAACGGCUUACCAAGGCAACGAUGCAUAGCCGACCUGAGAGGGUGAUCGGCCACACUGGAACUGAGACACGGUCCAGACUCCUACGGGAGGCAGCAGUAGGGAAUCUUCCGCAAUGGGCGAAAGCCUGACGGAGCAACGCCGCGUGAGUGAUGAAGGUCUUCGGAUCGUAAAACUCUGUUAUUAGGGAAGAACAUAUGUGUAAGUAACUGUGCACAUCUUGACGGUACCUAAUCAGAAAGCCACGGCUAACUACGUG
This 497-nucleotide ribosomal RNA is filed under the name uncultured bacterium. RNAcentral's name for it is "partial 16S ribosomal RNA". It matches the Rfam family "Bacterial small subunit ribosomal RNA", at positions 28 to 507 of the family's 1533-position model. The record is from RNAcentral.